CCUCCCUUCCAUCAGCUCUGCCCCAUGGAGGACAGCACUCCCCAGCUCUGCCCUCAGCUCCUGCUGACGCUGCGCUGUUGGAGCUGGAACCACAACGGCUGAGUGGCUUCUGGCUAUUGUGCUCCCGAGUGUGCAGUGGCUUCCUCCUCACUCCUACUCCUCCUCUCCCUGAGUGGCUGCUGGAGCAUCAGGAAUGUAAGUGCAGCAGGCGAUGUUAUCUUCCCAAGUAGUUUGUGUGAAGCAUGGAGGUGUUCCUGUGGACUUUCAGUUGCAUAGAACUUGACAGAGCUGCUUUUUGGCCUGGAGUUAUCAGCUUGACAUUCCCUUCAGCUGGAAAAAUGGUUCUUUGGGGCUUGCUUGUACAGAAGGAAGAAUUCUUUACAUGGAGCUCUGCAAGCCCUGAGCCUGGUCAGGCGAGGAGGAAUGGCUUUACAUGGCAGUGGAGAAGAGAUGCCAUAAAUCAGAUCCCACCUCCUCUCCCCUACAAGCAUUCCUGGGGCAGGGAAUGAACUCCAGCAUCACCCUGACAUGUGCCAUCCAGGGAAAGUGUGCAAAGCUGGAUUAGAACUCACUGGAGAGGGAAGAGAGAUUUCCUGCAAGGCUUAGGGAAACGUGCUCAGGCUGGCUGGGUUUGUAAAUUGGGUUAACUGGUAUUAAUCUGUGAGCAUCUGCAGGUUUUCCUCCACGUGGAGAUGGGUGACAUUUCCAGAGCUCCAGUUCUCCAGGUUCCUACUGAAAAGUCAGAGAUAAUGACUUUUCCAGGGACAUAAAGCUACUAACUCUGCAUUGACAGAAGAUGAUUAAUAACCAGGCUGUUUGUAUUUACAGCUGCCUCACCCACUGCUGAAACGGGGACACCUCCCAAGCAGCCCCUGGAGCUCUUUCUCCUGUGGCACCAGGAAUCUGGUGCUGUGGGUAGUUCCAAGCAGGAUACCAAGAAAAAACCUCUCUGAAAGGGACUUUGGGAGUCUCCUGCUCCUGGUGGCUCCCUCCCUGCCUGCCCUGGAUCAGCGGAUGGAGGGGAAUGGUUAUGCCCUCUUCUCUCUGCAGCAACCUUGUGAAUAUUAAGGAAGCUGCUGCAGCCUCUCCCAUGGGUGGAAGCUGGAUGAAAGCUGGAUAGAAGCUGGGUGGAAGCUGGAUGGAAUAAUAGUGGCCUACAAGUGCUGGCUGCCAGCAGCUCAGGAGGGGAUGGCGAUCUGGCUCCUCAGCCGGAGAUUGCUUCCAGCCACAAAGUGCUCUGGCUCUUCCCAGCACGGGCACGGGCUGAGGAUGCAGCAAGCAAGAGCUGUCCUGAGGCUUUUGAACCUCCACAGCUGACUCUGUGGUGGGAAUGCAUCACAGCCCUGCUCUGGGCUUUGCUUUCUGCGUUACUGGGGAAAGCAGAGGAAGAGGGCACAGCCUCAGGUUGCACCAUAGGAGGUUUAGCUUGGAACAGUUUCUUCCCUAGAAGGGUUGCCAAGCCCUGGAACAGGCUGCUCAGGGCAGUGGUGAAGUCCCCAUCCCUGGAGGGGUUUUGAAAGCUGUGUAGAGGUGGUGCUGAGUGACACGGUUUGGUGGUGACCUGGCAGGGCUGGGUUAAUGAUGAUCCUACAGGUCUCUUCCAGCUGAAACCCUUCUAUGAUUCUGUGUUUGCUUCAGCCCCUGGGGCUGAGCAGAUCUGACCCAUCCAGCCCCAUCCCAUGGCAGAGGGGUUAGAAGCAGGUGAUCUUUAAGUCCCUGCCAACACAAACCAUUCUGUGAUUCUGUGAUCCCAGACCCACUGCUCCAGCUUUCCCCUUCCCCGGGGCAAUGUCAUCAAACCCAGCUGAAAGCAGAUCAGCUUCUGCAGGUCCCUCAGCCAGAAGGGACUCUGCUAGCAAGAAACCUCACCGCUGAGCCUGCUGCCCAGAAUACCUCCCUGAGCCAUGACCCUGCUAUGGCAAGCAGUGUUCCCCUCCCCAUCACCUCCAGCACAGGUUGGCAGCUGCCCCUGCCAGGUCAGAGACAUCGUGGAGGCUCCUCUCUCCCCUCUCUGCUAAUAGGGAAGGCUCAGGGGCCGGUGCCAAAUCCUGCUCCAACAGCUGUAUGUUCUCCAGCAUGAGUCAUCCCCACCCCGAGCUCUCAGCCUCUCCAUAACAACAUUCCUUCUCUCUGAUCUCAGAUCCUGGCUGUGAUCACUUGCUGUCUAGUUCUCCUGCCUCCAUCCACAUGGUUCCUCCUGUCCAGGCUCUGUCUUCUCCUCAGACAGCAGAGGAGCCUUUGCCAGGAUCUCCAGAGCUUGAACCAAGGUGGAUGCAGAUCACCUCUUUCUCCCCCAGAGUCAAGAGGAGGUGCCCAGUCUCCAUGAGAUCCAUUUCUGCUCUCUCUGAAGAGAGACAGUGACACUGUUCUUUUUCUUCUCGUUGUUCCACCCCAUCCAAGACAUGUCUGAGAGCAACCACUGCCCACCCUCUCCCAGAACACUGGCAAGAGUGCUCAGAGCUUUUGAUCCUGCACAUCUCCUUCGGUCUUGCUGCGAGCUCCUCUCCACAGCCUCCUCCCUGAGCCACUUCCCCUCUCUCCCUGCUGUCCCUUUUGUCCCCAGUGGGUUAUUUUCUUUGUCUCUCUGCAAGGCCUACUGUCUGUGUGGACACAAGCAGCAGCAACACCCACAUCCUGCUCCGUGAGGGGAGUGGAAGAGCCAAACAGAGCUCUUCCUCCUCUGCAGGACCUUGUCCUCUGCACGGUUCACCUUGAACCCUGCAAAGCUGCAGUCAGCCGCCCUCUCCCUU
Pogoniulus pusillus (Red-fronted tinkerbird) is the source of this 2750-nucleotide long non-coding RNA. RefSeq lists it as uncharacterized. NCBI's taxonomy places the organism in Eukaryota, Metazoa, Chordata, Aves, Piciformes, Lybiidae. The record is from RefSeq and is a predicted model, not a curated record. The transcript is spliced from 2 exons.